RNAcentral lists this unclassified non-coding RNA (204 nucleotides) under Stutzerimonas balearica DSM 6083. RNAcentral's name for it is "Pseudomonas balearica DSM 6083 Pseudomonas sRNA P29". Lineage: Bacteria; Pseudomonadati; Pseudomonadota; Gammaproteobacteria; Pseudomonadales; Pseudomonadaceae. The record is from RNAcentral.
UAGCACAGAGGGGAGCCGAAGCUCCCCUCUGGAAAGAUUGUCGCGUGCUGUUGUUAUUGUUCGCAGGCGUUUGUUUUUGUUUUCGCCUGUUCCCAGAGAUCAGUAUCGCUGGGAAGAACGCUCCGAUCAGGAGCCAAUAGCAAACGGAUUUCUUUGGUCGCUGAGUUGCCUGUCGGCCGGUACGGGUACUGCUUUCAUGCAGUU